GCUUUGGCACAACUUCUUGUGUGUACUCCAUGUUAUAUUUUGACUGAUGUGGCACUUCUUGCCUAAUAAUAGGGCUUAAUGCAGGUUUAAAUCUAGCAAGUCUUUGACAUGAUUCGUUCACAACUCGAUUUCGAGUGUCAAGGGCCUCAAGUCUUUGCAUAUAUUCUUCAAAGAAAGUGUUGCCAUGUCUUGAAUGAACAAGUUGCUUACAUGACUCAGCAAGAUUAUUUGAAGGAAUUUGAGGGAGCUGUUCAAGCUGGAUGCUGCAGAGUACAUGAUGUCCAUCUGUGGCGAUGAUGGUCUGAGGGAACUGUCUUCUCCAGGGAAAAGUGGCAGCAUUUUCUAUAUUUCUCAUGAUGGUAGAUUUUUCAUUAAGACUUCACGAAGACCUGAAAUGAAGGCUCUACUCAAGAUGCUGCCUAGCUAUUAUGAGCAUGUAAAAGAUCAUGAGAACACCCUGAUAACAAAAUUUUUUGGGCUCCAUCGAAUAACAUUGAGAGGUUUUAAAAAGGUAUACUUUGUAGUCAUGGGGAAUAUGUUUUGCACUGACUUGCGAAUACAUCGUCGUUUUGAUUUGAAGGGUUCAAAGCAGGGACGAUUCACAAAUCCGGAUGAGAUUGAUGAGAGUACCACUUUGAAAGAUCUCGAUUUGUCAUAUGAAUUUCAUAUGGACAAAUUGCUACGAGAGUCACUUUUUAGACAACUCAAACUAGACUGCAAGUUCUUAGAAUCUCAACAGAUAAUUGAUUAUAGCCUUUUGUUGGGAUUACAUUUUAGAGCUCCUGAACAACUGAAUGCCUUCUUAGAACCCCCUGAUGCACUGCACAAGCAUGAGAUCUUGCCUCAAACUGAUGGUGCAAUCUCACGUGAGAUCUCGAUUCCUCCGAAGGGUCUGCUCCUAGUUACUCACGAACCAAGCUCUGUCAGCACUGCACCAGGGCCUCACAGUAGAGGAAAUACUUUGAGAGCAUUCUCUGUAGGGGAGAAGGAAGUUGAUCUUCUUCUGCCUGGUGCUGCAAGGUUACGAGUGCAAUUAGGAGUGAACAUGCCGGCCCAGGCUAAUCGCAAGCUUCAACCGGAUGAGACUGAUGCAGAAGUUGAACUUUUUGAGGUUUAUGAUGUUGUGCUCUAUCUUGGCAUAAUUGAUAUAUUGCAGGAAUACAACAUGAAAAAGAAAAUAGAGCAUGCAUACAAAUCACUGCAAUACGAUCCUAUGUUGAUUUCUUCUGUUGAACCCAAGCUUUAUUCUGAGCGUUUUAUCAAAUUUCUGGAGAAAGUUUUCCCCGACCCCGAACAACCUUGAAAGGCAGGAAGAUCUUUGUUUUUAUUCUGCAAAGUGUCAUGGUUUUUUAGAUAGGAUGAUGGUACAAUUCUCAUUCGGACAGUGGGGAUCAUGUCUACAUUUAUAUGCAACAUUGAGCCUAAUAAUAAGGGAUGUGAGGUCAGAAAGAACAUACAUCGGCUCAUUUCUUCAACACCUUGUAUACUUUCUUGCUAUAUGGCCCAGUUCUUGUUGAAUUCAGAUAUGUGGAUUUUUCACAAAUGGUUUUGUGGGUUAUAUUAACAAUAUGUACAGAAUCAACCGUUAAAGAAUAGAAAAACGCACAGAAAGUGCAUUAUGUGAUUUAGAUUUAUCUCAAGUGUGACCCACAUAACACUUAAGAUGGAUACGUGAACUAUACAUUAUACUUUUUGU
This is a non-coding RNA of Camellia sinensis, 1696 nucleotides long. Lineage: Eukaryota; Viridiplantae; Streptophyta; Magnoliopsida; Ericales; Theaceae. The record is from RefSeq and is a predicted model, not a curated record.